AUGAACGCUGGCGGCGUGCCUAAUACAUGCAAGUCGAGCGCACGGACGAGAAGCUUGCUUCUCUGAUGUUAGCGGCGGACGGGUGAGUAACACGUGGAUAACCUACCUAUAAGACUGGGAUAACUUCGGGAAACCGGAGCUAAUACCGGAUAAUAUUUUGAACCGCAUGGUUCAAAAGUGAAAGACGGUCUUGCUGUCACUUAUAGAUGGAUCCGCGCUACAUUAGCUAGUUGGUAAGGUAACGGCUUACCAAGGCAACGAUGCAUAGCCGACCUGAGAGGGUGAUCGGCCACACUGGAACUGAGACACGGUCCAGACUCCUACGGGAGGCAGCAGUAGGGAAUCUUCCGCAAUGGGCGAAAGCCUGACGGAGCAACGCCGCGUGAGUGAUGAAGGUCUUCGGAUCGUAAAACUCUGUUAUUAGGGAAGAACAUAUGUGUAAGUAACUGUGCACAUCUUGACGGUACCUAAUCAGAAAGCCACGGCUAACUACGUG
This 496-nucleotide ribosomal RNA is filed under the name uncultured bacterium. RNAcentral describes it as "partial 16S ribosomal RNA". It matches the Rfam family "Bacterial small subunit ribosomal RNA", at positions 29 to 507 of the family's 1533-position model. The record is from RNAcentral.